GAAACCACUCGCGCAGGUUGAGAGGUUACACUGAGCUGGGGAGGUUCCGCCACCAGUGUCUGCUCAAAGUGGUUGGGGGAUGGGGUACUUCCCACUUAGGAGGGAAGGGGGGAAUAUGAACAGGUGAGUGGCCACAGUGGGGCUGAGACCCGUAGACAGUGGGACCAGCGGGGGCUUCCCAAAUCCUGGGCCCUCAGACUGCAGGAUCAGAAGAGGGAAAAAACCCCAUAGGACCGGCUCAGCUUCCCGAGGCUGGAGGGUGAGGCUGCCCCCUAGUGGCUGAAGUUCACGACCGGACGGACGUUCAAGGAGUCCCGGGCGUUCCAAUGCUUUCUCCCAGGAAGUGGGCUCUGCAGGCUGGAGUUGCCCUAGUGUCAGGGUGAAGGCUGGGAGCCAACGUCUAAUCAUCAAGGUGAUGGAACUCUGAGGGCUGAAGGGAUGUUAAGGCACUGAGGGCCAGAGCACUUGUUCUCAUCAGCAUCAUCAUCAGCCUCAGCAUCAUUGUCACCGUAAUCAGCAUCAUUGGCAUCAGCAUCAUCAGCAUCACCACCCUCAUCAUCAUCAGUAGCAUCAAUAUCACUAUCAUCAGCAUUAGCAUCAGCAUCAUCAGCAGCAUCAGCACCAUCAGCAUCAUCGUCAUCAGGAUCAUCAGCAUCAUCAGCAGCAUCACCACCAUUAUCAGCAUCAGGAUCACCAUCUAACAUUUUUUGAGGGCUUCAAAUGCACAAGGCACUGGGCUGAUUUCUUUACAUGCAUUGUCUCACUUGUUUCCAACAAUGACAGCCCCCAAAGUUAAGUAUUAUUAUUGUUAAUAUCCUCAUUUACAGAUAUAUAAACUGAAACUUAGAGAGAUUAAGCAACUUGCUUAGGGCCACAGAGCUAUGUUAAGUGUAAUUUUCAAAAAUGUAAAUCACAAUUCUCAGGAAAAUAUAAAAUGAUACCAUGUCAAAGAUUUUAUUUAACUCAAUAACCAAUGAGAGAACCAAUAAGAAGUUUAAACUUAUUCAAAGAGCAUUAGAGAAUUUAGAUAUAUGCAGGCAAUUUAACAACAAAAAAAUAAGGCGAGUAUGAUAGGCUAAAUAAUGUUCCCUCUGGAAAAAAAUCAAUCCUGAUCCCUGGAAUUUCUGAAUAUGUUACUUAUGUUACUUUAUAAAUAGAAAGGACUUUACAGAUGUGAUUAAAUUAUGGGUUUUGAGAUGGGGAGAUUAUUCUGGAUUAUCUGGGUAGGUCCAAUGUAAUCACAUGCAUUCUUAUAGGAGGGAGACAGGAGUGUCAGCUGAGAGAGAAGACAUAAGAACGAAAGCGGAGGUUGGAGUGAUGUGCUUUGAAGACGGAGGAAGAGGCCAUAAGCCAAGGAAUGAACCUCACCAGCACCACAGGACCCACCACCACCAUCACAAGCCUUAUCAUCACCCCUGCCUUCUCUAUCCCUGCAGCAGUCCGGGGAUAGACACAGGGAGAGGACAGCCAUCUUACCAGCCGAGGAAGGAAGCCUCAGAGAAACCAACACUGCCAACACUCGGAUCUCUGGCCUCCAGGAUUGUGACCGCACCCACCACAGUUAUCACAGGGGCAGCUAUAAUGGCAGCAGCUGCAGCAGCAGUGAGCCCCAUGCCAAUAGAGAGACAUAGGCAGUCACACCCAUUGUAGAACUGAUCACUUAGGCCAAGUUAUUAAUUUUGUACUGGAGGAAACUGAAGUCCAGAGAGGUCAACUGACUUAUUCAAGCCUAUGGAGCUCUUAAAUAGAAAACUAAGUCCAAAGAUCCUAUUUUUUGGCCUCACAUUUUCUUUCUUUCUACUGGUCCACAUGACUUCAUCCCAGCCCAUCAGCCCUGGAGGCUGGGCUAAGGACAGCCCCACUAUUUGAGCCUGCUCUUCCUUCCUAUCAGGAGCAAACCAUCAUGAAAAUCAGCCCCAUUAAACUCUGAUUGUCUGUG
Homo sapiens (human) is the source of this 1939-nucleotide long non-coding RNA. RefSeq lists it as uncharacterized. NCBI's taxonomy places the organism in Eukaryota, Metazoa, Chordata, Mammalia, Primates, Hominidae. The record is from RefSeq and is a predicted model, not a curated record. The transcript has 3 exons.